This is a long non-coding RNA of Gossypium arboreum, 555 nucleotides long. RefSeq lists it as uncharacterized. The transcript is spliced from 2 exons. The record is from RefSeq and is a predicted model, not a curated record. NCBI's taxonomy places the organism in Eukaryota, Viridiplantae, Streptophyta, Magnoliopsida, Malvales, Malvaceae.
UACCGUUUUAGUUAACUAAAGGAAAUGAAAUGGCAAUCAGCCAAUUCCUUCAAUCAACUGAAGCAAAUCCCUAGCCUUUCCCUUAUUCUAUCUGUCGGUUCAUUUUCACAUAAUGCUUUCAAUUUUGGAGGAACCUUUAAGCCUUGGAAUCUCUGUUGAUUAGAUUUCAACAAAACAAAGAGAAGAAAUCCAUGACAUAUUCUCACGGUGUGUAUGGCGUGGAGGAGUUGUUCAUGGAGCAUGGCACGAGUGGAAGAAUCGGUGGCUGAAGCUUCUAGGGUUUCUACCGAAAAUUCCAUAGGUAUUUUGGGCUUAGGGUAUUUUGGGUUAUUUAGGCUAGUUGGGUUAAGUUUAAUAAUUUGAGCCCGUUAUUUUGGUUGCUGGGCUAUGUAAGAAAUGGACAUUAGAUUGUUAUUAUUAUUAUUAUUUAUUAUUUUUUUAUAUUUUGAUUUGUUUUCUUAGUUUUUGUGUAAGCCCAGGCACAAAUUGGGUCUUACAGGGACCAAAUUGAAUAAGUGAAGAAAUAUGAAGGAUUAAAUCGUAAUUUUAUCAAAA